GAAUGAAACUGAUGGCGCUGUGUUACUGUCGUCGGAAUUCAAGUUGGACUUGGAAAGUUCUUGACCGUGUAGUAUUUUGCGCGGCAGAGCUGGAAGUUCGGCUGCACUUUUCGGCGGCCCUCGUAGCACCCUGUUUUAGCAAGAGAUGGUCGUGCGUGAAGCGGCCUGGCUGAUCUAGGUCGGCCGGGUCCCCGUGCGGUUCAUUUCCACGCCUGGACUUGAAAAAGCUGCCGGCAUAGCGCAUAAAUUGGCGUUCAGGCUGGACGAUCGAAAGGUCGAAAGGCCUUGGGCGCUGAUGGUUGCGAGGGUAGCAGUGCUGCGAUUACAACAGUUACCCAUCAGACCCGUCUUGAAACACGGACCAAGGAGUCUAGCAUGUGCGCGAGUCAAAGGGUGGAAAACCUCAAGGCGCAAUGAAAGUAAAAUCAGCUGAGAUUCUUCGCUCGUCGGAGACGCAUCAGCCUACCGUUGUAUGUGCUUGUCACUUCAGCGGAUAGUGAGCGUACACGCUAGGACCCGAAAGAUGGUGAACUAUGCCUGAACUGGAUGAAGCCAGAGGAAASUCUGGUGGAGGUCCGCAGCGGUUCUGACGUGCAAAU
RNAcentral lists this ribosomal RNA (599 nucleotides) under Pareurystomina sp. BCA3. RNAcentral describes it as "eukaryotic LSU rRNA". It matches the Rfam family "Eukaryotic large subunit ribosomal RNA", at positions 412 to 898 of the family's 3401-position model. The record is from RNAcentral. Lineage: Eukaryota; Metazoa; Nematoda; Enoplea; Enoplida; Enchelidiidae.